RNAcentral lists this ribosomal RNA (589 nucleotides) under Chaeteessa valida. RNAcentral describes it as "SSU rRNA". It matches the Rfam family "Eukaryotic small subunit ribosomal RNA", at positions 35 to 608 of the family's 1831-position model. The record is from RNAcentral. Lineage: Eukaryota; Metazoa; Arthropoda; Insecta; Mantodea; Chaeteessidae.
UCUCAAAGAUUAAGCCAUGCAUGUCUCAGUGCAAGCCGAAUCAAGGUGAAACCGCGAAUGGCUCAUUAAAUCAGUUAUGGUUCCUUGGAUGGUGCACGGUUACUUGGAUAACUGUGGCAAUUCUAGAGCUAAUACAUGCAACCUGGUCCCGACCGGAGACGGAAGGGACGCUUUUAUUAGAUCAAAACCAAUCGGUCCGAUCCAAACGGGCCGUUUGUCUUGGUGACUCUGAAUAAACGAAUGCUGAUCGCACGGCCUUCGAGCCGGCGACGCAUCCUUCAAAUGUCUGCCUUAUCAACUGUCGAUGGUAGGUUCUGCGCCUACCAUGGUUGUAACGGGUAACGGGGAAUCAGGGUUCGAUUCCGGAGAGGGAGCCUGAGAAAUGGCUACCACAUCCAAGGAAGGCAGCAGGCGCGCAAAUUACCCACUCCCGGCACGGGGAGGUAGUGACGAAAAAUAACGAUACGGGACUCAUCCGAGGCCCCGUAAUCGGAAUGAGCACACUUUAAAUCCUUUAACGAGUAUCCAUUGGAGGGCAAGUCUGGUGCCAGCCGCCGCGGUAAUUCCAGCUCCAAUAGCGUAUAUUAAA